UUUCUAAAGGGAGUAAAAGUCCUUGAGAGUAUGUUUAUUUUCAGCCAAGUCAAAGUCUCCCAUUUCUGGAUGAGGCUGUGACACAUUUUGUCUUAGCAGCAACAGGGCCUCCAUCCCUUCAGUGGAAACAGUCACCAACUCUCACUGUACCCAGGUCACCUGAUGUAUGUUCUUUAGAAAGGAUGCCAAUGAGAUCUAUGAAUACCAUGGAGAAUGAGGAAAGCCAAGACAUAGCCACCAUGUACAUCCCAAAGCCCCGACCAGGUGUCCUCUCCUGAUGGAGCAGAAGCUACCUGAGGACAGAACCCUCAGUCCUGAGCCCUGGACCUGGUUCCCAGGGAAUAGAAAAAAGAACAAAGAGCACUGAGUUUAGAGUCAGAGGACCUGGAUUCAAAUUCUGGUUUUGAUGGGCACUACCUAUGUGACCUUGGAUGUCGUGGGCAAGAUCUGGAAAAGGUCUUCUUAACCAGACAUUCCUUUUGGUGGCUGAGAGUGGACUGAUCAUAUUAGACACUGGAACACUGCAGGACCCCCUCUAUGGGAAUAUCCACUGAGGAAGAACAAAAUGUAUGGGAAAUGCCUCCUGGCCACAAGACAGCCAACAAGGACAUCAGUACCUAUCUCUCACCAUGGACAAGUGAGGCCCAAAGUAGAAGAGAAGGAAGCCAGCCGGCUGAGCUAUAUUUGAGGAAUCCAAGAUGCUACACUCAGGCACAAACCCACCUUGAUCCUGCCAUUUCAACAUAGUGAUUCUGGUGAGGCUUGGAAGAGAUGUUUCAUGAUUCAUAAUUUCAAUCUCUGAUGAAUCAAAUUAUUGCGCAUGGCCCAGAAGGAAAAAAGAAACAAGCCCAAAGUGGUGUACAAUAGGUCCCUAGGCUGCAGCCUACUUCCAAGAUGAUCCAAAUGCUAGAUUACUACUAUGCAAACAUCGGAUGGGCAAAAGAAGUGAGCUCACACUGGAGUCAGAGCUAGGAGUGGCCCAUGGGCAGCGCUGGGCAACCGUGGCUUUCAUGCCAUACCUUCUAUGAAUGAUCUUAAAAGGAAAGCAUCUCACAUGAGUUGAGAGGGCACAGAUAGGCUGUCAUCUGAGUGAGGGAAGGAAUGUUGACAUUGAGAUGGAAGGAAAGUAUUUUCUAAACUGCAUCAUUUUUAUCCUUAACAAUAAUAACAUAUAAUUUGUUUUUUAUUCACAAAUUGCCUUCUAGUAUCUCUAAGACCAGGGAAAAUUUGCUUUUAAAUCUAUGCCACAACUUCAUAUAACAAUAAGAA
This is a non-coding RNA of Monodelphis domestica (gray short-tailed opossum), 1269 nucleotides long. The record is from RefSeq and is a predicted model, not a curated record. Lineage: Eukaryota; Metazoa; Chordata; Mammalia; Didelphimorphia; Didelphidae.